RNAcentral lists this non-coding RNA (123 nucleotides) under Heterosigma akashiwo. Lineage: Eukaryota; Raphidophyceae; Chattonellales; Chattonellaceae. The record is from RNAcentral.
UGUAUCUUGUUUGUCCUGCAACAAGCUGAUGGAUUAUCCAGUAACAUGCUCUCGGUCGUCAACGAAGCAGCAUUUUUCGGUCCACAGUAGAAAGUUUGUGUGGACCUGCGUGUCCUUCCUGGA